RNAcentral lists this long non-coding RNA (1847 nucleotides) under Triticum aestivum (bread wheat). RNAcentral's name for it is "long non-coding RNA (TAES_LNC019218)". The record is from RNAcentral. Lineage: Eukaryota; Viridiplantae; Streptophyta; Magnoliopsida; Poales; Poaceae.
AACAUCGUACCAUUAGCAAUAGAUAGAAACUCAAUACAACAGCAGAACACACAAUAUAUCUUUUUCUACAUACAAUGCCAUGAUUUAUUAUACAUAAUUGUUGGCAAGUACAUGUCAAGCGAAACAAUUUUUCAACAGAAAUGACUUCUUUUGAGUGGUGCAUGUCAAAACAAUGAUAUUUUAUUUUCUUGAUCCUCCGAAUUUGGGCGAAGAGAACGUAACAAGAGAAGUGAAGCAAUGCCACCACCUAGUACCUGCAUUUAGUACACUUCUAUUUGAGAUCGUAGCUUAAGGCAGUGAGGUUGCAAGUUCAAACACAUGCCUGAAUUGAACUCAAAUAAGAAACUGAAAUCCAACUACAAUAAGAAUUGAACUGAAUGAAAUUUAUAAAUUGAACCAAACUGAAAGACGAAAUUGGACAUCAUAUGUAGAACAAGAAAUAAACUUGAGCAGUAUUAGCUACUAAACAAAAAGAUUGCUUUACUAAACCUAGAGAUUUCAUAUUGGUGAAAUUUUUCUUCCUACAGAACCGUAAAUCAAAUACAUGUACUGUUGGCUAGGUUGUAGCAACAUGAUAAGUAGUAGCAGUACUACUCUAGGUGGCAAAGUAGUAGCGCCACAAAGGAAGGCCACCAUCAAUAGUGCAUACUACCGCGACACCUAAAGUAUGUGUUGGCCACACUUGCUUUACAUAGUACUACAAGCUUUUCAUUAAAAAAUGUACUACAAGAUUUGUGAACAUGAGGUCGUAGAGAAGUUGUACUAAGAGUGUGGAUUAGAGCGGCCUGACAAGGAUGCAGCAGCACACACACACACACACACACCACAAGAUAAGUUUCUGGGGUUCUUAAUGAGCUAAUGAUAGAAAACAUGUUGAACUGAAAUUUGGACUUCCAGGACUAUCGAAUGUUUUGGCUUCUUUUAUGAACCUUUUUGUUAUUUUUUUCUUAACUAAAAACCAAAAUUAAUAUCACAAUACACACAUGUACUACACAACAAUGAGCGUUUGUACUGUCCAUGUAAACGAAUUAACCAAAAACAACUAAUUUAUGGAGGAAACCAUGUUUAUGUUGCUUAGUACACCAUGUGAUGUAACUACAAACUCCUUUUCUCUCUGAAAAAAACAUGAUUCACAAGUGACCUACAUUUCUAGCAUCAGGUACAUACUUGUCAUGAACUGAUAGAAUUACUCAAGUAGACCAAAUUCGAACUAGAUUAGAAGAAAUUCUACAGAGCAUCAUUUCUAGCAUCUGUACAUACUUGUCCUUUUACGGACUGAUGGUAGAUAUACAUGGCGAACUGCUAUACCACCUACAGAGCAUCAUUUUUACGAGAAAACACAAUUCAUCAUUUAUCAAAAUUACGAGUUUCUUUGGACAUAACCAAAACAAGAAUUUGAACAACAAGGAGGAGCACGGCGACGGGCGUGUGGCCGGGAGGUGGAGAGGGGCGACGGUGGAGGUUGUGGAAGGUUGGCCCGAGGGUGGUGGCGGGCAUUGCGUCGGGGAUUGACCCACUUCGGAUUUGGUGGAGUGGCCUGGAGUGAGUUUUUUUCUUUUGCUUUUUUCUGUUUGGUGUACUGGUUCGCUCUUAAUCUAACAGUACAUUUGUCUUGUAGAUUUCCAUUUGUCCAAAACAAGAAGGAAACACUCCAAUACUUAACAACUAAUCUAUUAGUACAUCCAGAACAAUUUCAAUUUUCAGAACAAACUUCCAUUGAUGUGUUAUACUAUGAAUCUGUAUAUAGGACAUGAUGGGUCUCAGGCUACUUUCAAAAUAGGUUGCAUCACGGGAGAAAUUACCUCUACCUCCUGCUUGGAUAGAGGAUACGUACUUCCAAUACACGA